AACGCAGCAUGCGCCCUCCCCCGGAGGGCAUGCCUGGCUGAGAGUCGCGCACACCGGACCCCGAGUCGGGCCGCGAGCAUGCUCCGGCCUCUGUGCAUUGGGCGGCCUGUGCGGCUGUGGUGCAUGCGGAAGCAGUGCGCAGCAGCAGGGCGCCAAACGACAGCGGCCUCAGCUCAGGCAGGACGACCCGCUGAACUUAA
This 200-nucleotide unclassified non-coding RNA is filed under the name uncultured fungus. RNAcentral describes it as "partial internal transcribed spacer 2". Lineage: Eukaryota; Fungi. The record is from RNAcentral.